Molecule: RNase P RNA, 390 nt
Filed under: Allobosea sp. Leaf344
Lineage: Bacteria; Pseudomonadati; Pseudomonadota; Alphaproteobacteria; Hyphomicrobiales; Alloboseaceae
Description: Bosea sp. Leaf344 Bacterial RNase P class A
Rfam family: Bacterial RNase P class A
About the family: Ribonuclease P (RNase P) is a ubiquitous endoribonuclease, found in archaea, bacteria and eukarya as well as chloroplasts and mitochondria. Its best characterised activity is the generation of mature 5'-ends of tRNAs by cleaving the 5'-leader elements of precursor-tRNAs. Cellular RNase Ps are ribonucleoproteins.
Source: Rfam by way of RNAcentral
CCAGUCGGCCGGACGGCCGCUCCCGCUCGCGGGGGAGGAAAGUCCGGGCUCCACGGAAACACGGUGCCGGAUAACGUCCGGCGGGGGCGACCCCAGGGAAAGCGCCACAGAGAUCGAACCGCCCGCAGCUCGCUGCGGGUAAGGGUGAAAAGGUGCGGUAAGAGCGCACCGCGGACCCGGCAACGGGGACGGCAUGGCAAGCCCCACCGGGAGCAAAACCGAAUAGGGACGAUGCCUUCCGCGCGAGCGGGAGGGGGCCUGUUUCUGGGCCUUGUCGUCCGGGUUGGUUGCUCGAGGCGCGCAGCGAUGCGCGUCCCAGAGGAAUGGCCGUCGCGCCGGGGGAGCGAUCUCUCGGCCAUCCAGAACCCGGCUUACAGGCCGGCUGGCACC